AUCCUUUUCUUUAUGAAAUUAUCCUGUUUGUUGAAGAUCUUCCUCUGUAACACCACACAAAUGCUACUAGGCUAGAAAAUCCUCUUUUCUACUGUUUUAAGCUCCAGUUUUGUAUAGAAAGCACAUGACUAGGGGCAUGUGACAGUAAGUAGUACUGUAUUGCUCUCAUAAAGCAUUCAAAAGUAGAGAUGGUCAACAUAUUAUGAAACAAACUGUUCAUUUUCCUUUGCUAUCAAUGAGACAUUUCACUUUCCCUUUGCAAAACAAACUUUUCCUUUCUGAAUUUUUCAUGUUGGUAACUUUUUUCCAUGAUCUCCAUUAGUUAAACAUUGUGCAUAAGAAAUGGAUUAUAAUGUAUAUUGCUAAUUAAGAAGGGAUCUCUGACACAGCAGUGGCUCCUUUCACAAAGAAUGGGAUCUGCUUCGGAGCCAGCUGGGAUCUUUCACAAAGACCCUAUUCAUCAAAAUAGCAAUUGAGAGUAUUUUCACAAAGACUAGGAGCUUCUGUGCUGAGCCAGCUAAAUGGUUUCACAAAAAACAGGAUACUCUAAUCUACACAGUAGGUAGUGCUUUGUUAAAGAUGAUGUUCUCCAUGAAACUGUUAAGACAGUUCAGGAGUGAGCUCCUAAACUCACUGAACACACUUUAGUUUCACUCCUGAACCAGCUGAACUUUUCCUUAUAGGUCUUGGCCUUCAACCAGCCGCUGCUUCACAGUUGGCUAUCUGUGAUGCAUAAGCAUACAGUUGCGACAAGGAACACUAAUUUUCUUUUUCUUUUGUUAAUUAACAGAAUAAUUACAUAACCCUAGAGAGCCCACUAAAGUCUUAUUGCAUACAUAUUUUUACUUUCUGUGGUUUGUAGACUUCAAGCUAGAGGGGCCUGAAAAAUCAUGAGACUUAGUAAACAUUUUUUGGGUCUGUUCUUAAUUGAUCAUUUGGAAACUAAGUAACCAAUUUUCUUGAAACUCCUCUGAAAACUCAAGCUUUACUCAAAGAUUGUGUGGAAAAUUUUGAGAAGAUACACACUAGUUUUCAUACAAAACAAAGAUGAAGAAUUUCCACUUGAAGUGCGAAACAGAACACAGCAUCGACUGUCUCAUGGCAAUGGCUCUCCCAUAAUUCAUUUUAUCUUGUUUCAUGAUUAUUUUACAUCCAAACAUAAAAGGUAUCUCUCACAAAUUGGCUCUUUUGCCCUUCUUUUUCCUAUAAAAAUAUAAUGUUAACCAAAUAGUACAUAGUAAAAAAAUUGAGGCUAAUGCAAUAGUCUUCUCUGCAUCUUACCCGAUGCUUGAAAUUGGUGUUUGGACUAACAAUGCUGACUUAAAAAAACAAAAAUCUCAAUUUGCACUAUAGAGGUCAAAAGCUGAAAAGUCACUUUAAAGAGAAUGAUUUAUAUAUUUAAUGUUCAGCAAAAGGUUUUGCUAUAUAUCAUUUGAAAUAUGCUGCAUCAUGUGGCUAUUAAUUUAAAAAUUGUACAAAAAUUAAGACAUUAAACAUUUUAAAACUCAAAGGAUGAUAUCUUGCUCCCAUUGAAGUCAAUGGUAAAAUUUAGUUUCAGGGGGAGGCAAGAUUUCAACCAUAGUAUUUCACUAAACAGAGACUGGAUACCAUAACAACAUGAAAGCAUCAGAUACCUAGUUCUAAGGCC
This is a long non-coding RNA of Chrysemys picta bellii (western painted turtle), 1648 nucleotides long. The record is from Ensembl. NCBI's taxonomy places the organism in Eukaryota, Metazoa, Chordata, Testudines, Emydidae.